Small nuclear RNA from Cricetulus griseus (Chinese hamster), 104 nucleotides. The record is from Ensembl. Lineage: Eukaryota; Metazoa; Chordata; Mammalia; Rodentia; Cricetidae.
GUGCUUGCAUUGACAGAACAUGUACUGAAACAGGAACCAUGCAGAGACAUAUGUGGCUCCUGUAAAAGGAUGAAAAGCACAUUCAUGAAGUGGUCCAUAUCUUU